This 2767-nucleotide small RNA is filed under the name Pongo abelii (Sumatran orangutan). Its description in RNAcentral is "processed transcript". The record is from RNAcentral. Lineage: Eukaryota; Metazoa; Chordata; Mammalia; Primates; Hominidae.
AAAUAGUUCAUUUGUUAGUGAUAAAUGUUAACAUAGCCUAGCAAAGAGAGCGUCUGUGCCCUCCCACCUUAGUGUAAGAAGAGGAAGCAGAGUUGCUGGGGGCUGCCUCUGGGACUUUGUAUGCAGGACCUGGAGCACACAGGUGCGGUGUUGUUCACAGGUGUGGUGGUGUUUGCAGGUGCAAUGUUGUCCGCAGGUGUGGUGAUUUCCUGCCCGCAGGUGCAGUGAUUUCCUGCCCGCAGGUGCGGUGUUGCCCACAGGUGUGGUGCUGUCUGCAGGUGUGGUGUUGUCCUGCCCGCAGGUGUGGUGUCAUCCGCAGGUAUAGUGUUGUCUGCAGGUGUGGUGUUGCCCUGCCUGCAGAUGUGGUGUUGGCUGCAGGUGUGUUGUCCCCAGGUAUGGUGUUGCCCUGCCUGCAGGUGCGGUGUCACCCAUAGGUGUGGUGUUGCCCACAGUUGCAGUGUUGCCCGCAGGUGUGGUGUUGUCCGCAGGUGUGGUGUUGCCUGCAGGUGUAGUAUUGCUCUGCCUGCAGGUGUAUGUGUGUUGCCCACAGUGCUGUGGGUAUGUGUCGUGUGUGCAGGUGUAUUGCUCUGCCUGCAGGUGCGGUGUUGCCUGCAGAUGUGGUGUUACCCUGCCCACAGAUGCAGUGUUGCCCUGCCCGCAGGUGCGGUGUUGCCUGCAGGUAUGGUGUCGCCACAGGUGCAGUGUUGUUUGCUGGAGGGAGGAAGAGCACACCGGGCGUGGUGGACAGAACAGCCUCGAUUGCCGCCGGUAAUGGGAUAACGAUGACAACAGGGAAGAUGCUGGCAAUGACGGCUCCCAUCGAGUGCUCGUGUGCCAGGCACGGGGAUCAGCGCUUUCUGGGAAUGAUCAAGUUGAAUCCUCUGUUCCAUUGGCCUUUCCCCCUGAGGGAGUUGUUGCAAUGACCCUCCGGGCCAGCAGCGCUAAUUAGGAGCACACAGCGCACUUCCAGAGCACCUGACCUACGGCUACAAGGCUUCAAGGAUGCUGCUUCUGAGGAGACAUCAUAGAAUUCUUUGGCAUUCUUCCUGUAGCUCAGAGUCCCACGAUUCUCUUUGUAAACACGUUGCACCAGGUCUUCCUCAGGGGACAGGUCGCAGGACAGCAUGCAUUUGGCGGUCCGUGUACACACAUCAUGUGCCUGAGGGCCUGGGAAUCUGCUCUAACAAGACUCCACGGCUGGCACCGUGGAUCUGAGUGGGCUCCUGCUUUGUUGAGCUUAGAGUCAUCCACAGGCAUUCUCCAGGGCGCAUUGGCUUUCUGCAGAAGCCAAUGGUGAAUUCAGCAAAGCCACACCCACUGCAUAUCCUUGAUCCUUAAAGCCACAGACCCAGUAUGGGUAUUUCACAGACUUCCCAGUAUGUCAAUCCUAUUUGACCUUAACAGACCCUGGAACUGCCCACUAGGUGCAUCCACAGACUCAAAGGAUCUACGCUUCAGACAGCAAAGUCCUGACAUGUGCAGCCGUGUGGAGGAUGCCGAAGGAAUUGGAAUCAGGCAGCCACGAGUCCCCUGAUGAUUCAUCCAGCACUGCGCAGACCCUGGAGCUGCUCUGUCACCUUGACAACACAGCCCAUGGCAACAUGGCCUGUGUCGUGUGGGAACCAAUGGGAGAUGGGAAGAAAAUCAUUUCAUUGGCCGAUAACCAUAUCCUGCUGUGGGAUUUACAGGAAAGCUCAAGCCAGGCUGUGCUGGCCAGCUCAGCGUCCCUGGAAGGGAAGGGACAGCUGAAGUUCACCUCAGGACGGUGGAGCCCACAUCAUAACUGCACCCAGGUGGCCACAGCGAACGACACCACCCUCCGUGGCUGGGACACCCGGAGCAUGAGCCAGAUCUACUGCAUAGAGAAUGCCCACGGACAGCUGGUGCGGGACCUUGACUUUAAUCCCAAUAAGCAGUACUACUUGGCCAGCUGCGGAGAUGACUGUAAGGUGAAGUUCUGGGACACCCGAAAUGUCACCGAACCCGUGAAGACCCUGGAGGAGCACUCCCACUGGGUGUGGAACGUCCGCUACAACCAUUCUCACGACCAGCUGGUCCUCACUGGCAGCAGUGACAGCAGAGUCAUCCUUUCCAACAUGGUGUCCAUCUCAUCGGAGCCCUUCGGCCACUUGGUGGACGACGAUGACAUCAGUGACCAGGAGGACCACCGUUCCGAAGAGAAGAGCAAGGAGCCCCUGCAGGACAACGUCAUCGCCACCUACGAGGAGCACGAGGACAGCGUCUACGCUGUGGACUGGUCCUCGGCCGACCCAUGGCUGUUUGCCUCCCUGAGCUAUGACGGGAGGCUCGUGAUCAAUAGGGUGCCCAGGGCCCUGAAGUACCACAUCCUGCUGUGACUCCCAGGCCUGGGUUAUCCAGGUCCCAUUGGGUGGUUUUCCUCUUGGCAGAUUCUCAAACAGUCGCAGCUCUUUGGAGGUGACUUGUUUUCCAGGUGGAUCCCUCUCUGGGAUAGCCGCUGUUCCAUUCCUGUAGCAGCAGCAUUUAUGAAUGGGGUGAAUGGGGCUGUUGUUGACAGCACAGCUAAUGUCCGAACCCAGCUCCUGUCGGCAGAGACAGAGCCCCACAUUGUUAUGUGAAUAACAACGUUUUCUGUUUUAAGGGUGUUAGGAGUUUCACUUUUUAAAAAAAAUAUCUGUUCCUGCAAUAGUAACUCUUCUUUCUCUUGAGAGUAAAAAAUGAAAUAAAAUAAAUCCACACUGCACAGGUGCUCGGCUCAUUCUUUCAGGAGCCCUGCCCUGUGACCCCA